GUCCACGCCGUAAACUAUGGACACUAGAUGGGUGGCGAGCUAUCGCUGCCUGUCGGAGGAAAUUUGGUAAGUGUCCCGCCUGGGAAGUAUGGUCGCAAGGCUGAAACUCAAAGGAAUUGACGGGGGCUCACACAAGCGGUGGAGGAUGUGGUUUAAUUCGAAGCAACGCGCAGAACCUUACCAGGUCUUGACAUACCGGGAUUAUUUGCCUGAAAGGUGAAAAUUCUCAGCAAUGAGGUAACCGGAACAGGUGCUGCAUGGCUGUCGU
Molecule: ribosomal RNA, 268 nt
Filed under: uncultured bacterium
Lineage: Bacteria
Description: partial 16S ribosomal RNA
Rfam family: Bacterial small subunit ribosomal RNA
Source: RNAcentral